RNAcentral lists this ribosomal RNA (54 nucleotides) under Colletotrichum acutatum. Its description in RNAcentral is "partial 18S ribosomal RNA". It matches the Rfam family "Eukaryotic small subunit ribosomal RNA", at positions 1783 to 1831 of the family's 1831-position model. Lineage: Eukaryota; Fungi; Ascomycota; Sordariomycetes; Glomerellales; Glomerellaceae. The record is from RNAcentral.
UAAAAGUCGUAACAAGGUCUCCGUUGGUGAACCAGCGGAGGGAUCAUUACUGAG